UACGUAGGGGGCAAGCGUUGUCCGGAAUCACUGGGCGUAAAGCGCACGUAGGCGGAUUGUUAAGUCAGGGGUGAAAUCCUGGAGCUCAACUCCAGAACUGCCUUUGAUACUGGCGAUCUCGAGUCCGGGAGAGGUGAGUGGAACUGCGAGUGUAGAGGUGAAAUUCGUAGAUAUUCGCAAGAACACCAGUGGCGAAGGCGGCUCACUGGCCCGGUACUGACGCUGAGGUGCGAAAGCGUGGGGAGCAAACAGG
Molecule: ribosomal RNA, 253 nt
Filed under: uncultured bacterium
Lineage: Bacteria
Description: partial 16S ribosomal RNA
Rfam family: Bacterial small subunit ribosomal RNA
Source: RNAcentral